GAUGAACGCUGGCGGCGUGCCUAAUACAUGCAAGUCGAGCGAACAGACGAGGAGCUUGCUCCUUUGACGUUAGCGGCGGACGGGUGAGUAACACGUGGAUAACCUACCUAUAAGACUGGGAUAACUUCGGGAAACCGGAGCUAAUACCGGAUAACAUGUUGAACCGCAUGGUUCAAUAGUGAAAGACGGCUUUGCUGUCACUUAUAGAUGGAUCCGCGCCGCAUUAGCUAGUUGGUAAGGUAACGGCUUACCAAGGCAACGAUGCGUAGCCGACCUGAGAGGGUGAUCGGCCACACUGGAACUGAGACACGGUCCAGACUCCUAUGGGAGGCAGCAGUAGGGAAUCUUCCGCAAUGGGCGAAAGCCUGACGGAGCAACGCCGCGUGAGUGAAGAAGGUCUUCGGAUCGUAAAACUCUGUUAUUAGGGAAGAACAAAUGUGUAAGUAACUGUGCACGUCUUGACGGUACCUAAUCAGAAAGCCACGGCUAACUACGUG
Molecule: ribosomal RNA, 497 nt
Filed under: uncultured bacterium
Lineage: Bacteria
Description: partial 16S ribosomal RNA
Rfam family: Bacterial small subunit ribosomal RNA
Source: RNAcentral